Molecule: ribosomal RNA, 500 nt
Filed under: uncultured bacterium
Lineage: Bacteria
Description: bacterial SSU rRNA
Rfam family: Bacterial small subunit ribosomal RNA
Source: RNAcentral
GAUGAACGCUGGCGGCGUGCUUAACACAUGCAAGUCGAACGAAGCAUUUAAAGUGAAGUUUUCGGAUGGAACUUUGAAUGACUUAGUGGCGGACGGGUGAGUAACGCGUGGGUAACCUGCCUUACACAGGGGGAUAACAGCCGGAAACGGUUGCUAAUACCGCAUAAGCGCACAGUGUUGCAUGACACAGUGUGAAAAGAUUUAUCGGUGUAAGAUGGACCCGCGUCUGAUUAGCUAGUUGGUGAGGUAACGGCCCACCAAGGCGACGAUCAGUAGCCGGCUUGAGAGAGUGACCGGCCACAUUGGGACUGAGACACGGCCCAAACUCCUACGGGAGGCAGCAGUGGGGAAUAUUGCACAAUGGGGGCAACCCUGACGCAGCAACGCCGCGUGAGUGAGGAAGGUUUUCGGACUGUAAAGCUCUGUCGAGCGGGAAGAAGUGUACCAUGGCUAAUAUCCAUGAUAUUUGACGGUACCGCUAGAGGAAGCACCGGCUAACC